Long non-coding RNA from Artibeus jamaicensis (Jamaican fruit-eating bat), 490 nucleotides. RefSeq lists it as uncharacterized. The record is from RefSeq and is a predicted model, not a curated record. The transcript has 3 exons. NCBI's taxonomy places the organism in Eukaryota, Metazoa, Chordata, Mammalia, Chiroptera, Phyllostomidae.
AGCUGCAGCGAGCAGCAAGUGAGUGAGGCAAUCUGAGCUCAGCCAGCCCCCAGCAGAUCUGCCUACUCACUGCAGAUGCUUAUGUGAACGCAGCAGGCACCACAUGGAGCAGACAGACACCAUCCCAGCUGAGCCCUACCCUGAUUGCCCAUCUAUAGAAUUGUAAACCUUCAAGGCAGCAGUCACCAGCUAUGGCCUCUUGGGUUUCGAGGAUGCUUCCUAGGAAUGUCCAUUCCUUGGCUCCAUCAUCAGAGAACCAGCGAGUUGAGGAUUGUCAUCAUCACCACGAGGCUUAUGGAUGCUUCUUGCCCAUCCAGACCAGGUGGCAGGACAAUGACCAGUAUGGCCACGUGAACAAUGCCGUGUACUGCAGCUACUUCAGCACUGUUACCAACCACUACCUGAUCAGGAAGUCGGCAUGGAAGACAGGAUGUAAACUUCGGCCACAGAGAGCCUGGAUUUGGGGCCCGGCCCACCGCUGACUGCGCAC